UACAGAGGGUGCAAGCGUUGUUCGGAAUUAUUGGGCGUAAAGCGCGCGUAGGUGGUCAUGCAAGUCCUGUGUGAAAGCCUCAGGCUCAACCUGAGAGGGUCACAGGAUACUACAUGGCUCGAGGAUGGGAGAGGAGAGCGGAAUUCCCGGUGUAGAGGUGAAAUUCGUAGAUAUCGGGAGGAACACCAGAGGCGAAAGCGGCUCUCUGGCCCAUUUCUGACACUCUGGCGCGAAAGCGUGGGUAGCAAACAGG
Molecule: ribosomal RNA, 253 nt
Filed under: uncultured bacterium
Lineage: Bacteria
Description: partial 16S ribosomal RNA
Rfam family: Bacterial small subunit ribosomal RNA
Source: RNAcentral